CUUCCUCUCGUGCCGACGCUUAUUAUUUUUAUUUUCGUGUGCGUUUGUACCGCUGUGUUCACAUCAGGGAAGUCUGUGCCACGCAACCUCGCCUUCUCGUCUCUUUACUUGGCUCUAGCUUGACCAUGGCUGCGCCUCCACCGGAGGACGAACGGCCGACGAUGCUGCCGUUUUUGCCCGCGCAGGCAGCUCCACCUGCGGUUGAAACACCAGCAGAUACGGCCGCUGUGAGCACGGUGGAUACUAACAUUACAUCCUUCGAUGGGGAUUCGCCGCCGUCGGAGCGGCGUGCCAUGUCGUUUGAGGAGUUCCGCCAGUUCUACGUAGCAUCACGGAGGCUCAACUACCUCAGCAAUCAACGCAACGCAACUGAAGUGUCGGUAAGCCGAGAAGACGGAGGCGUGUUGGCACAUGACACUGUCAGCGCCGACGCGUUGGCCGGCGAGGCGGCUGGGCAGCGUGUCGUGGCGGGUACUCUUCGCCGACGCAUUGUCGGGACAAACGAGGACGGCCCUACGCCGGCCCAAACAGCAGCAGCAGCACCAGCCACGCCUCCACCGGCAGCACAAACACCACCACCACCAUUAGGUCACCUUGCUCGCGUUAUCCGCGCUGUCGGUGGGUGUUUGAACUGGCUGGCCAAUCGGGUCAUGCGCAACCGCGCGCACUUCCUCCAGCUCCUUCUUGUCUUCUUCGUCCUCUACGUCCAGGUCAAGUUGAGCAGGACUCAUAUGAUCUGCCUUCUCGUCUUAUACAUUACCGUGAAGGGCGCACAGGAGUUUGUGCGAAACUUCCAGAUCAGUCACGAGGCGGGGACCACCGGGGCACCGUCCUUGCUCGGUCGUCUUUUCAAGCCAGAGGGGCACGUAGGAUCUGUGUCGAAGCUGCGAAAGAUCGGCUACGUCGUUGCGAAGUGUGCGGAGGCUUUCCUGCUAAGCCUCUUUCCAACCUACUCCCUCGAGCACCUGGAGCGUGAGCUCUGCGCCGACGGCAUUGUGCGGUGAAGGCGCCGUGGGAGGCAGCGGGACUGCCUGCUGCUUUGCGCGUCUUGCCGUCUUCUGCAUCGCACCCCUGCUGUUGGUGUGCAUGUGUGCGUACUCUCUCGCCUCCUCGAAGUCUCCCUUCACCCGGCCACCGCCCAAUGAACAUCUGGUGCGGCUGCAGCUGCUCCUCGCAAUGGUGACGGUGAUCCUUUUCCCAGGGCGUGUUCGAGUGCUCGUGUAUGUGUGUCUGAUGCACCUCCGUGCGUGGUGCUUUCCCUCUCUUCUUGUGUCUUUCUCUUGGCUGUGCGAGGGCGUCCGCAUCCUUCUCCUCGCAGGCUCAUGGGCUUCUGCGGAGACACGACACCCCCUCCCCGUUUUCUGCAACGCGCCAGCUCUGCCACGCAACAGGAGUCAAACACCACUCCACACCACCACCACCACCCGCCAGUCUGCCACGGGCCCCGUCGCCUGGUGCGAAGCAUGCCGUUCGCACACGCGUUGCAGCCGUGCGCCGUCCCAGUCAGCUGAGAGCACGGCCUCUGCCUCACACGCUGCGCGCCACCGCUCCGCGGGCCGCCUCGCAGCCGGCUCCCCUCAUGCCGGUCGCCACCUGGUGCAUCCUCCUCGGCGUGGCACGCAGGCUCCCCAUCAGCAGGCAGUGAGGGCCGGGUGGAAUACGCUCGAGCUCGGUUGGCGCUGUGCCCAUCAUGCGGAUGCGCAAGCGUGUGCACCGUCGCGGGUCGCCCGCGAUGCCGCGCCAUCCAGCGCCUGACCGCCGGCAUACCAGCGGCGGUACAUCGCUGUGACCCCUCCGCACAUGCUAGGUACUUGAGCCUGGGACCGCCACAAGCGGUUCCGGCAUUGGCAGGGUGGGUGUGUACGGGAGGCCCUGAGAUGCCAUGCACCGAGCGGUGUACGCUUCUCGUCAUGAGUAUGAACAAC
RNAcentral lists this unclassified non-coding RNA (1925 nucleotides) under Leishmania donovani. RNAcentral describes it as "gene:LdHU3.15.0290(CDS-product:hypothetical_prote in_conserved)". Lineage: Eukaryota; Euglenozoa; Kinetoplastea; Trypanosomatida; Trypanosomatidae. The record is from RNAcentral.